CCUACGGGAGGCUGCAGUGAGGAAUAUUGGUCAAUGGACGAGAGUCUGAACCAGCCAAGUAGCGUGAAGGAUGACUGCCCUAUGGGUUGUAAACUUCUUUUAUAUGGGAAUAAAAUGUUCCACGUGUGGGAUUUUGUAUGUACCAUAUGAAUAAGGAUCGGCUAACUCCGUGCCAUCAGCCGCGGUAAUACGGAGGAUCCGAGCGUUAUCCGGAUUUAUUGGGUGUAAAGUGAGCGUAGGUGGAUGGUUAAGUCAGUUGUGAAAGUUUGGGGCUCAACCGUAAAAUUGCAGUUGAAACUGGCAGUCUUGAGUACGGUAGAGGUGGGCGGAAUUCGUGGUGUAGCGGUGAAAUGCUUAGAUAUCACGAAGAACUCCGAUUGCGAAGGCAGCUCACUGGACUGCAACUGACGCUGAGGCUCGAAAGUGUGGGUAUCAAACAGGAUUAGAUACCCUAGUAGUC
Molecule: ribosomal RNA, 460 nt
Filed under: uncultured bacterium
Lineage: Bacteria
Description: partial 16S ribosomal RNA
Rfam family: Bacterial small subunit ribosomal RNA
Source: RNAcentral